Molecule: non-coding RNA, 5684 nt
Organism: Macaca mulatta (Rhesus monkey)
Lineage: Eukaryota; Metazoa; Chordata; Mammalia; Primates; Cercopithecidae
Source: RefSeq, a predicted model, not a curated record
UUCCUUCCUUCCUUCCAUGAACAGCUGUUGAGUGCCCUCUAUGUACCAGACACGGUGCAGAUACAAAAUAAUUUACCACAUAGUCCCCACCAUUCUGCAGCGACUGAACACUUCUUGGUCUAGAGGAUUUGGAAGCCAGGAGUGGUUAGAGUGAGAAAAAGGAAAAGCAAACCAAAGAAUUUCUGCUUCUAACACAAAUCUCUAGCCAUCAGGGGCCAUCAGGAAGCUGUGGACUGUGGAGGGGACCCAGGAGGGCUGGGGAGAUUGCCCGGAGUCCUGCAGGGGCACAGGAGGGUGGGAGAGGGGUGAGAACUAGAGCCUUGCAUCCAGACCUGCUUUGCCCUGUCUGGUCCAGGAGGUGGGUUCAUGGGUUGGAGUCUGCACCACACGGGGUCUGGAUUAGCACACAGUCCCUAGGCCACCACCCUGGGGCUUGCCUCUUGGCAUCACCUUAAAGAUGGCCCUGGGACAGAAGCGUGGGCCCAGUUUGAGCCUGAAUGAUAUCACAAGUGUGUAGUUUCUCUGUGGGGCCCCUCCACCUGACUUCAGGCCACUGUCCCUCUCACGGCCACUCAGGGCUGCCGGAGUCCCUUGCUGUUCCUCUCUGGAAAAUGAGAUGACCACCUCAGGCCUACUUGCUUCUCAGCCCUUCCUACCCCAGUGAGCCACGCUUGCCGCCCCAUGUGUCUAUGGUUGUGGAAGUCUGCCUGGUAAAGGAAUUCCUGACAAGGUGCAUGGUGGCCCAUAGCUUCACAGUCACCCUCCUGGCAUGUUAACUGGGGUUUAAAGCCUUAGGGUACAGGACUGCUGAUGGGCCUGUCAGGCAGGGCUGCAGGAGGCUGGGAGCAAAAAAUUUUGGGACCAAAGGCUGUAAGGCCGCAAACAGAUGCCUGCUGUAGCAGCUGCGAUGGUGGUGGUCAUCGCUGAUGUGAUUGGUGGCCAUUUGAACUGUCCCAUGCAGGGACUGCUUCCUCAGAGCUCAUGUGUCCAAAAGAGGCUGGGUGGCCCUCCUUCAAGAUGCCCACUUGGGAGGUUGAGCUCAGUGUCCUCUGAGGUCCCUCGCACCCCAAGGAGCUGCGCUGUGGGUCCAGGUCAGCAUUAAGAAUGAGAUUUAAAGCGCACUCGGCUUCCCCGCCAAGCCCAGGUGCAUCCUUCCGCCCAUCUCAGCCUUUCUCAGCAGCGGGUGGGGAACCUGCAUUCCUUGGCCAGUGAAUCCUCCCCUUCUGGGCCUCACAGAUCAUGACUUUGAGGAUUUGGAGCCCCAUUUGGAAGCCCCAGUAGUGCAGAGGCCCAUGUCAGAGGCCGCCCAGCAGAGAGACGGGCAGGAGGCGUGUAAGGACUCUGGGGAGUUCAGUUCUGACUCUGGCUGCAGCCGGAGAUAAUGCACGUUAAGCACCUGGCUCUGGGCCACGUUUCCGCAGCUCCUGUUUUUAAAGCAGCAACUCCUGGGAACUUCUGAGGAGGAGGAGGGAAAAGAGGAAGACAAGGAGGAGGCAGAACUGUUUUUCUACACCUGGGCUGGAUGGGCCACCCUAGACCUAUGGAAUAGGAAAGCACUGAUUUUGCACAAACCAGGGCGUUGUCUUCUAAUAAUUUUAAGCCAUCAAGUAGUAUAAUAAUAACCACAACAACAGCUACUCAAACUGAUAGCAUAUUUUGAGCCCUGGCAAUAAACGGCCAGUAAGUUCCUGCCCUCAAGUUGCUCAAAGGCCCUGGUUUUGCGUGGGAGACAAGAUGAACCAGAAUGUGCUGAAUUGAGGGCUGUACCAGAGGCCUGGCCAGCAAAUGAGAUGCCCUGGGCGGUGUGCCUGCAGCUGUGUGUGCCGGUGCGGGGAAGCCUGGGUCUGCGGGGCUGAGAGGUUUGCUCCUGGCCCUGUGGGUGAUCUGAAGCCAGAGGUGGCAAUUAAGCCAGUGCAGCUUCGUGAGAUCUGUGUCCUCCCUCUUUUUCUUGCUGCUUUCUGGGGACAGGGGACGGGUCCUAGUAUGGCCUGGCUCCUCUUUGGAAGAAUGUCUUGGGUGCAGACCCCUCUAGCUUCGGUGCCAGGGACAAGAUGACAGGCAUAUUGGAUUUUGUCAGGUGAGGGGGAUUUGGUGUGAGCUGAGGGUGUGUAGGAGGGGCCCCCUUCUGUCUGGACAGCUGAGCCCAGGCCUCGGACAGGAUCCCUGGACGCCAGCCCCUUCUGUGGACUGUGGGAGGCGGAGUCUCCAGAGCCACACCCUGCCUGGAUUCAGUCCCACCUACGGCCCUGAGGGUGCCCACCAAGGGGCACUGUCCUAGCUUUGUUCCUACUUCCCAUGUACAUUGUCAGCCCUGCUAAGGCCUUGUCUCUGAAAAGUGAGGAGCUGUCAUAAGUGAUUUCUAAGGCCCUUGCCAAGCCCACCUCAAUCCUCUUUCUGCUUUAAUGACUGACCCCCAUGUUACUUCUCAGGGCUUUUCACAGAGAUUUGAAAGUCACUCCUAGAGACUACUGGGGCCCCAGGGCAGUUUGCCCUGAGACUACUGGCGACAUCUGAUGUUCGGAGAGUAUGGAUCGUGUGCCAGGCAUGUGCUUGGCACUUCCCGGAUAUCACCUCGUGGGCUCCUCUCACUAGCCUUUGAAGUGGGGGACUGGUGUUACUCUGAUGCACAGCUCAUGAGUCCGGGGCUCCCUGAACCCAAGGAACUUGCCUGAGAUCACGUAACCACUAAGAGGGGUGUGUGCCCCCAGCUCCUACCGCUUCCCUGUCAUGCUUCUCACAUGGGAGUGGGGUUGGGGGGAGGUUGGUGGCUCACAUCUCCAACCCCCUCAGCCCAGUUAUUAAGUUAAAUACCAUCUGCUUUCAAAGCCCAAGGAGGCCAUCUAUGCUGGGGAAAAGGGGGGUGGGUGGGAAACCACCAUCAAAUUCCCAACUAGCCAUAAAAAUGGAUGCAAUUUAUUUUUUCUGGCAUUCCAAUUACAUAGACGUUUGUCGCCAGCUGUUUGUUCUAACACGGAGUGUUCUCUCAGCUGCUGUUUCUCUUCUCCCAUUUGACAUUGUUAGGCCACAAGUCUGGCCGGGCCUGGGCUGGAGGGGUCAUUGGCUGGGGAGCCUCCCAGGUGAGCUGAGCUGGCUUUCCCGGAACAUGGACCGUGCCUCUGAUGUUCCCGGGGUGGUCUCGAGGUGAGGCGGGGGAAAGCCUGGGGUGCUGCUUCCUACCUCUUUUCACACUUUCUGCCCCUUUCCUCCUCGUCUCUCUUUUUCCAAAUUACUCCCCACCCUCAACAUGUGCUCCCAGGCCCCACCCUUCUCCCCAGCACACUGGGAAUGGAUGAAAACUUGGGGUCUCUGACUUAGGGAGAAAAACCAGCUGUUCCUGCUCAGAAAGUCUCUGAGACAUGGGAAGUCCCCUCUGACGCCCUAACUGACAACCCUAGGGAAUGCAGAGAACCCCGGAGCACCUCUGAGCCAGGUUCCUCUCUGGAAGCCCCUGUGGAGGCUCAGUGGCCCUUGGGACGCUGGAGAAGGGGUGUCUGUGUAGGGUGGGGGCUAACCCCAGAGAACGCUGUAGUUCUUUUUGGUGCUCUGUAGUGCUACCAUUUUCUGGUGCUCUGUAGUUCUACCAGGAACGCACACUAUGGCGGCCCUCAGCAAAACUGUGAAGUAGGCAAAGUGCAGAUCUUUGGGGCCAGAGACCUGGGUUUGAGUCCUGGCACUGUCACUUCUCGCUCUGUGGCCUUGGGCAUGUUACUUGACCUCCCUGAUCCCCAGUCUUCUCAUCUGUAAAGUGAGAGCACACAAAUCUGCCUUGCUGCCUUGCUGAAAGGAUUAAACAAGACCCCAUAAGAGAAAGGGCUGGUGUGUUCUCACUGAGUGCCAGAGAGGAAAUCUCAUGAAUUCAUAGCUACAAGGUAACAACUUAACUGGAACCCCAGGAAGGAACAGCUCAGAAAAGGGCAGUGCCAGGGUGGGUGAAUGACUGACCAGCCAAAAGGCAGAUGGGGAAGGACCAGCCUUUCUGAGUGACAGAUUCCUUCCUCUCUAGCACUUCAGCCCAAACCCCUGGUUCUGCACCCUUAGCAUGGGGUGCAGCCUGCAGCCCAUCCAGAAAUCCUCGGAUUUCAAAGUGCAGGGAGUCAUACCAAGAAACGUGCAUAACAUGUGGUCGUACAAUAAUGCUAAUCAGCAGUGCAGCAGAUCACCACCACCAAGCACAUCAACCAUGUGGUGAGUGCCAUCGUGUCCCCUUAUGGGCACCCCACUCACAUGAUCUCUACCCCGUGUUAUACUAACCCCAAAGCUGGGACCACUUCCCUCAUUGCACAGAUGGAAGACUGAGGCCAGGAGAAGGGCGUAACUUGCCUGGGGCCACAUGACCAGGAAGUGACGGAGCUCAGUUUCCAGCCUGUUUUAUCUCUUUGGUUCUGAGUUCUGAGCUCUUCAGUUCUUGAGGCCAGCCCGCUGCCUGAAGCUCGCACACUGCCCAGCACAGUGGCCUGUGCCCAGGAGGCCCCCAGCAAGUGCCCGGUGCCAUGCCUUGCCCGGAGCGACAGCUCUUAUGAGUGACUGGCUGCGGGCGAGACCAAGGCCACCACUGUGGGCCUUCCUUCCAGUCAGGCCUGAGGACAAGGUGAGCUCGCUGAGUCCAGCCUCGUGGUCUUCUCCAAGAUGCCGCCAGACGCCCGGCCUACAGCCUCUCAGGGUCGGAUCGGAGCACGUCUGCCUCCCUCUCCCCUCCGCCCUCACCCAGCCACUCCGAGGCUGCUUCGCACUUUGCCCUCUGCCUGGUGGGGAGGGGAGAGCUCAGUCCCCCACUCACUCAGAGCCCAAGGCCCACUGUCCAGCUGCAGAAAUUCGUUGCCAAAGAUUCGACAGAGACACUGAAGGAAAUGGGGUGAUGAAACCCCACAGCGAAAAGCCACACCGUUGCUCUGUGACUUUUGCUCCUCCUGUUGCCUGAGCCCCAUCUCAAGCCGAAGAUGAGUAAGCGGUUCUGCCAGGAGCUCAUGGAAGGGAUGGGCAUUUGAUGAGCCCUGGGGCACCGGGCCCUCUGACCUGGUGCUCUCUCUCCACCAGGCCUUGCACUGACUGAGUGCAAGACAAGUCUUAGGGGCUGUGAGAGGGAGGCUGGGGUGCCUGGGCAGGGCCAGGAGUGGGGCCUGAGUUCCCCGCCCACUGUUUCCCCUUCAUUGGCUGCCCAGGCCGCCGGCCCCAGUUCUCAGUGUCCCCUGGGUCCAGGCUCCUUGGGCCCUGAGCAUCACCAGAAGGGAGUAAGCAGGGAGAGAAGCAAUACUACUCCCUUCCCUACACCAGGGACUUGCACCAGGGCAGCUACCUACGGGUCUUUGCUCCCCUAGCCAGCCUUCCCUCACCGUGACCCAUCCCAGGCAGCCAGCACCAUGAGCGGGCCCUGCCAUGGACAGGAAGAGUUUUUCUCUUGUUUACCCUGCCCGUGGCCUGAGGAAGGAGUAGAGGCUGGGUUGGCUGGAGCCGUCCUACUGGGCAAGAUGGAGCCCCACUUGGAGGACGGUGGUCUGUCACAGGGUGUGCAGGGGCAGAGGAGGAAGGGACCAGGGGACUGGGCCAGUAUGUGGACGAUGGGAGCAGGGGGGCGUGUUCAAAGCCAAGGCCUGCCCCUUCCUUGUGCUCAAAUGGCCAAAGCUGUUCACGUCUGUGCUCAACCAUCUGCUUCAAAUUGAAGUAAAAGCCCUAAGAUGUCAAGAAAA